UGUGAACUCGAAGAGUAGGGCGGGACACGUGGUAUCCUGUCUGAAUAUGGGGGGACCAUCCUCCAAGGCUAAAUACUCCUGACUGACCGAUAGUGAACCAGUACCGUGAGGGAAAGGCGAAAAGAACCCCGGCGAGGGGAGUGAAAAAGAACCUGAAACCGUGUACGUACAAGCAGUGGGAGCACCUUCGGGUGUGACUGCGUACCUUUUGUAUAAUGGGUCAGCGACUUAUAUUCUGUAGCAAGGUUAACCGUAUAGGGGAGCCGCAGGGAAACCGAGUCUUAACUGGGCGUUAAGUUGCAGGGUAUAGACCCGAAACCCGGUGAUCUAGCCAUGGGCAGGUUGAAGGUUGGGUAACACUAACUGGAGGACCGAACCGACUAAUGUUGAAAAAUUAGCGGAUGACUUGUGGCUGGGGGUGAAAGGCCAAUCAAACCGGGAGAUAGCUGGUUCUCCCCGAAAGCUAUUUAGGUAGCGCCUCGUGAACUCAUCUUCGGGGGUAGAGCACUGUUUCGGCUAGGGGGUCAUCCCGACUUACCAACCCGAUGCAAACUACGAAUACCGAAGAAUGUUAUCACGGGAGACACACGGCGGGUGCUAACGUCCGUCGUGAAGAGGGAAACAACCCAGACCGCCAGCUAAGGUCCCAAAGUCAUGGUUAAGUGGGAAACGAUGUGGGAAGGCACAGACAGCCAGGAUGUUGGCUUAGAAGCAGCCAUCAUUUAAAGAAAGCGUAAUAGCUCACUGGUCGAGUCGGCCUGCGCGGAAGAUGUAACGGGGCUAAACCAUGCACCGAAGCUGCGGCAGCGACACUAUGUGUUGUUGGGUAGGGGAGCGUUCUGUAAGCCUGCGAAGGUGUGCUGUGAGGCAUGCUGGAGGUAUCAGAAGUGCGAAUGCUGACAUAAGUAACGAUAAAGCGGGUGAAAAGCCCGCUCGCCGGAAGACCAAGGGUUCCUGUCCAACGUUAAUCGGGGCAGGGUGAGUCGACCCCUAAGGCGAGGCCGAAAGGCGUAGUCGAUGGGAAACAGGUUAAUAUUCCUGUACUUGGUGUUACUGCGAAGGGGGGACGGAGAAGGCUAUGUUAGCCGGGCGACGGUUGUCCCGGUUUAAGCAUGUAGGCUGAUNNNNNNNNNNNNNNNNNNNNNNNNNNNNNNNNNNNNNNNNNNNNNNNNNNNNNNNNNNNNNNNNNNNNNNNNNNNNNNNNNNNNNNNNNNNNNNNNAUCAAGGCUGAGGUGUGAUGACGAGGCACUACGGUGCUGAAGUAACAAAUGCCCUGCUUCCAGGAAAAGCCUCUAAGCAUCAGGUAACAUCAAAUCGUACCCCAAACCGACACAGGUGGUCAGGUAGAGAAUACCAAGGCGCUUGAGAGAACUCGGGUGAAGGAACUAGGCAAAAUGGUGCCGUAACUUCGGGAGAAGGCACGCUGGUGUGUAGGUGAAGUCCCUGCGGAUGGAGCUGAGACCAGUCGAAGAUACCAGCUGGCUGCAACUGUUUAUUAAAAACACAGCACUGUGCAAACACGAAAGUGGACGUAUACGGUGUGACGCCUGCCCGGUGCCGGAAGGUUAAUUGAUGGGGUUAUCCGUAAGGAGAAGCUCUUGAUCGAAGCCCCGGUAAACGGCGGCCGUAACUAUAACGGUCCUAAGGUAGCGAAAUUCCUUGUCGGGUAAGUUCCGACCUGCACGAAUGGCGUAAUGAUGGCCAGGCUGUCUCCACCCGAGACUCAGUGAAAUUGAACUCGCUGUGAAGAUGCAGUGUACCCGCGGCAAGACGGAAAGACCCCGUGAACCUUUACUAUAGCUUGACACUGAACAUUGAGCCUUGAUGUGUAGGAUAGGUGGGAGGCUUUGAAGCGUGGACGCCAGUCUGCGUGGAGCCAACCUUGAAAUACCACCCUUUAAUGUUUGAUGUUCUAACGUUGGCCCCUGACCGGGGUUGCGGACAGUGUCUGGUGGGUAGUUUGACUGGGGCGGUCUCCUCCCAAAGCGUAACGGAGGAGCACGAAGGUUAGCUAAUCCUGGUCGGACAUCAGGAGGUUAGUGCAAUGGCAUAAGCUAGCUUGACUGCGAGCGUGACGGCGCGAGCAGGUGCGAAAGCAGGUCAUAGUGAUCCGGUGGUUCUGAAUGGAAGGGCCAUCGCUCAACGGAUAAAAGGUACUCCGGGGAUAACAGGCUGAUACCGCCCAAGAGUUCAUAUCGACGGCGGUGUUUGGCACCUCGAUGUCGGCUCAUCACAUCCUGGGGCUGAAGUAGGUCCCAAGGGUAUGGCUGUUCGCCAUUUAAAGUGGUACGCGAGCUGGGUUUAGAACGUCGUGAGACAGUUCGGUCCCUAUCUGCCGUGGGCGCUGGAGAAUUGAGGGGGGCUGCUCCUAGUACGAGAGGACCGGAGUGGACGCAUCACUGGUGUUCGGGUUGUCAUGCCAAUGGCACUGCCCGGUAGCUAAAUGCGGAAGAGAUAAGUGCUGAAAGCAUCUAAGCACGAAACUUGCCCCGAGAUGAGUUCUCCCUGAGACU
Molecule: ribosomal RNA, 2513 nt
Filed under: Klebsiella pneumoniae
Lineage: Bacteria; Pseudomonadati; Pseudomonadota; Gammaproteobacteria; Enterobacterales; Enterobacteriaceae
Description: partial 23S ribosomal RNA
Rfam family: Bacterial large subunit ribosomal RNA
Source: RNAcentral